UGGGGAAUUUUGGACAAUGGGCGCAAGCCUGAUCCAGCCAUGCCGCGUGCGGGAAGAAGGCCUUCGGGUUGUAAACCGCUUUUGUCAGGGAAGAAAUCUUCUGAGUUAAUACCUCGGGAGGAUGACGGUACCUGAAGAAUAAGCACCGGCUAACUACGUGCCAGCAGCCGCGGUAAUACGUAGGGUGCAAGCGUUAAUCGGAAUUACUGGGCGUAAAGCGUGCGCAGGCGGUUUUGUAAGACAGAGGUGAAAUCCCCGGGCUCAACCUGGGAACUGCCUUUGUGACUGCAAGGCUUGAGUGCGGCAGAGGGGGGAUGGAAUUCCGCGUGUAGCAGUGAAAUGCGUAGAUAUGCGGAGGAACACCGAUGGCGAAGGCAAUCCCCUGGGCCUGCACUGACGCUCAUGCACGAAAGCGUGGGGAGCAAACAGGAUUAGAUACCCUGGUAGUCCACGCCCUAAACGAUGUCAACUGGUUGUUGGGAAGGUUCCUUCUCAGUAACGUAGCUAACGCGUGAAGUUGACCGCCUGGGGAGUACGGCCGCAAGGUUG
Molecule: ribosomal RNA, 549 nt
Filed under: uncultured bacterium
Lineage: Bacteria
Description: partial 16S ribosomal RNA
Rfam family: Bacterial small subunit ribosomal RNA
Source: RNAcentral